This 773-nucleotide long non-coding RNA is filed under the name Pollicipes pollicipes. RNAcentral describes it as "uncharacterized LOC119095912". Lineage: Eukaryota; Metazoa; Arthropoda; Thecostraca; Pollicipedomorpha; Pollicipedidae. The record is from RNAcentral.
GUGGCCUCAUCGCUCUGUGCAACUGCUGGCACGUCGCGCUGUGUUGCAUCCUUCACAGGAACCGCUCCAUCACAUCAUGCACCGCCUCUCAGCUCUGGCUUUGGCGAUUGUGCUAGUGUCCCGCUGCCAGGCGGCAACACGUGUGGCACGUGCUGUAUCAGUUUAUCCAGCGUCAUCUAUUACCCACCCAGGACACGAAGACGAGUGCUACCUUGAAGACUUCCAGAGCUACUUGCCAGUUGGGGCCACGAAGUACUUAAAAGAGUGCGCGGCAUAUCAUUGCGGCAUGGAUAAUGGCGAACUUUCUUUAACAUACCAGACAUGCGGCAGGGUGGCCCCCAAACCCGACAGCUCAUGCACCGAUGUCCCGGUCAGCCGUUUCGCCGUGUAUCCGGAAUGUUGCCUAAAGAGAUAUAAUUGCGAGGUGCUGGGGUAAGUCCUGCCAAUGAGACUGUGCUAUGUCAUAGACUAACCACCAUAGCUUUGCAACGGCAGGUGGCUCCCAUGGGCAUGUCGAAGCGACUGUGCUCUUCGGGGCGCGGGCAUGCACGCCACAUUUUCGGAAGGCUCAUCGUGUGAUGACCAGUGUUUGCGAGCAUGGAGGUAGGAUAGUACGACUAUACAUAUCUGGCGCUAACAAAAAUACAUUGAAAACGCUCUGACUAGUAUUUUUGAGCCGUGAGAGGAGAUGCAGCGACACAACGUUCAUCUCAUAACGGUCAUUUUACCAUGCAUUCCGGCCCCUAUACUCAUCCAAAGCUUUAACUCACCAA